GAUCAACGCUGGCGGCGUGCAUGAGACAUGCAAGUCGAACGAAGGAUCGGGCUUGCUCGAUCCUUAGUGGCGGACGGCUGAGUAACGCGUAGGUGACCUACCCCGAAGUGGGGAAUAACUGCCCGAAAGGGUGGCUAAUACCGCAUGUGGUCGCACGUUCAUUCGUGCGAGUAAAGCCGCAAGGCGCUUCGGGAGGGGCCUGCGUCCGAUUAGCUCGUUGGUGGGGUAAUGGCUUACCAAGGCGACGAUCGGUAGGUGGUCUGAGAGGACGAUCACCCAGACUGGGACUGAGACACGGCCCAGACUCCUACGGGAGGCAGCAGUCGGGAAUUUUGCUCAAUGGGGGAAACCCUGAAGCAGCAACGCCGCGUGAGGGAUGAAGGCCUUCGGGUUGUAAACCUCUUUUGUCAGGGACGAUGAUGACGGUACCUGGCGAAUAAGCCACGGCUAACUACGCG
This 458-nucleotide ribosomal RNA is filed under the name uncultured bacterium. RNAcentral's name for it is "partial 16S ribosomal RNA". It matches the Rfam family "Bacterial small subunit ribosomal RNA", at positions 28 to 507 of the family's 1533-position model. The record is from RNAcentral.